Molecule: long non-coding RNA, 739 nt
Organism: Rosa rugosa (rugosa rose)
Lineage: Eukaryota; Viridiplantae; Streptophyta; Magnoliopsida; Rosales; Rosaceae
Exons: 4
Source: RefSeq, a predicted model, not a curated record
CCGAAUUAAGAGAGGAAGGGGAAGAUUGCUCCAAGAUUGCUGACAUCCAUAGCAUACUAUCAAUGUGGAAAAUAUAUGAUGCAGUUGCAAUGCCUUGAGGGGUCCCGGCUAUUUCCAUUCAUCAUAAUCUUCCAAAAUUAUGUCAGCUGUGGGUGGUAACUUCCUUGGUGGGAUUUAUAUGCCUUGGAAGAAUGCUAAUUGAUGAAAGCUUGAUCUUCUAGGGGGCCAGACUUGGAAAGAGCAGAAAGGAAAUUCCCAGGAUUUGAAAUUGAAGAAUGACCUGAAGGGUACUUUCUCCGGAACAAUAAAGUCAUUGGCAAAAAACUCGGAGUUGUGUGUGGAAAAAAGAUGACUUGAGGACGAACAGUGUUGCACCUUCACUAUGGAGCUCAUCUCAGCAAGGAAAUUUUUUCCUGAUUCUAGGACACUUUAGGAUGCCAGAGAAGGAUCAUUUCCUGUUACAUAACUCGAAAAAACAUUACUCCAGUGUAGUCGCCUAGUAGGCGAGGGUGGGGUUUUCUGUCAAAGGCUUCAACUUCCAAGGAGCCAAUAAAUACUCAAACCGGCAGUUAUGUUUUAUUUGUUUCCUUCCCCUGCUAACUUGCUAUUUGUCUUCUAUUUAUAUGGCUUUAUUAAUGGAUAUAUCAGCAAGAAUCACUUGAUUUUAUUCGCUAUCAUACUUAUGUAGUGUUCAUAUAAGAGUUUCAGAAUGUUUCAUUAUAUGCAAUUGUGAAGGAAU